This 77-nucleotide transfer RNA is filed under the name Pseudomonadota bacterium. RNAcentral describes it as "tRNA-Asp". It matches the Rfam family "tRNA". Rfam says of the family: Transfer RNA (tRNA) molecules are approximately 80 nucleotides in length. Their secondary structure includes four short double-helical elements and three loops (D, anti-codon, and T loops). RNAcentral also lists the same sequence under 3 other names. Lineage: Bacteria; Pseudomonadati; Pseudomonadota. The record is from RNAcentral.
GCGGGUGUAGCUCAGUGGUUUAGAGCGCCGGCCUGUCACGCCGGAGGCCGCGGGUUCAAAUCCCGUCAUCCGCGCCA